Molecule: ribosomal RNA, 429 nt
Filed under: uncultured prokaryote
Description: bacterial SSU rRNA
Rfam family: Bacterial small subunit ribosomal RNA
Source: RNAcentral
UGAGGAAUUUUGCGCAAUGGGGGCAACCCUGACGCAGCAACGCCGCGUGAGUGAAGAAGGCUUUCGGGUCGUAAAGCUCUGUCGAAGCGGGAAGAAGGUGGGCUAUUUGAACAGGAUAGUCUAUUGACGGUACCGCAGAAGGAAGCACCGGCUAACUCCGUGCCAGCAGCCGCGGUAAUACGGGGGGUGCAAGCGUUAUUCGGAAUUAUUGGGCGUAAAGGGCGCGUAGGCGGUUGAAUAAGUCAGGUGUGAAAGCCCUUGGCUUAACCAAGGAAGUGCAUUUGAUACUAUUGGACUUGAGUAUGGGAGAGGGAAGUGGAAUUCCUGGUGUAGAGGUGAAAUUCGUAGAUAUCAGGAGGAACACCGGUGGCGAAAGCGACUUCCUGGACCAAUACUGACGCUGAGGCGCGAAGGCGUGGGGAGCAAACA